Molecule: ribosomal RNA, 253 nt
Filed under: uncultured bacterium
Lineage: Bacteria
Description: partial 16S ribosomal RNA
Rfam family: Bacterial small subunit ribosomal RNA
Source: RNAcentral
UACGAAGGGGGCUAGCGUUGCUCGGAAUUACUGGGCGUAAAGGGCGCGUAGGCGGAUAUUUAAGUCGGGGGUGAAAGCCCAGGGCUCAACCCUGGAAUAGCCUUCGAUACUGGAUAUCUUGAGUUCGGGAGAGGUGAGUGGAACUCCGAGUGUAGAGGUGAAAUUCGUAGAUAUUCGGAGGAACACCAGUGGCGAAGGCGGCUCACUGGCUCGACACUGACGCUGAGGUGCGAAAGCGUGGGGAGCAAACAGG